RNAcentral lists this ribosomal RNA (365 nucleotides) under uncultured bacterium. Its description in RNAcentral is "bacterial SSU rRNA". It matches the Rfam family "Bacterial small subunit ribosomal RNA", at positions 28 to 418 of the family's 1533-position model. The record is from RNAcentral.
GACGAACGCUGGCGGCAGGCCUAACACAUGCAAGUCGAACGGGUGUAGCAAUACAUCAGUGGCAGACGGGUGAGUAACACGUGGGAAUAUGCCUUUCGGUUUGGAACAACUCGGGGAAACCCGUGCUAAUUCCGGAUACGCCCUUAGGGGGAAAGGAUUUAUCGCCGAAAGAUUAGCCCGCGUCCGAUUAGCUAGUUGGUGAGGUAACGGCCCACCAAGGCGACGAUCGGUAGCUGGUUUGAGAGAACGACCAGCCACACUGGGACUGAGACACGGCCCAGACUCCUACGGGAGGCAGCAGUGGGGAAUCUUGGACAAUGGAGGAAACUCUGAUCCAGCCAUGCCGCGUGAGUGAUGAAGGCCUU